CCUACGGGAGGCAGCAGUGAGGAAUAUUGGUCAAUGGACGAGAGUCUGAACCAGCCAAGUAGCGUGAAGGAUGACUGCCCUAUGGGUUGUAAACUUCUUUUAUAAAGGAAUAAAACGAGGCACGUGUGCCUUUUUGCAUGUACUUUAUGAAUAAGGAUCGGCUAACUCCGUGCCAGCAGCCGCGGUAAUACGGAGGUUCGGAGCGUUAUCCGGAUUUAUUGGGUUUAAAGGGAGCGUAGAUGGGUUGUUAAGUCAGUUGUGAAAGUUUGCGGCUCAACCGUAAAAUUGCAAUUGAUACUGGCAGUCGUGAGUACAGUUGAGGUAGGCGGAAUUCGUGGUGUAGCGGUGAAAUGCUUAGAUAUCACGAAGAACCCCGAUUGCGAAGGCAGCUUACUAAACUGUGACUGACAUUGAUGCUCGAAAGUGUGGGUAUCAAACAGGAUUAGAUACCCUUGUAGUC
Molecule: ribosomal RNA, 460 nt
Filed under: uncultured bacterium
Lineage: Bacteria
Description: partial 16S ribosomal RNA
Rfam family: Bacterial small subunit ribosomal RNA
Source: RNAcentral